GAGGAAUAUUGGUCAAUGGACGGAAGUCUGAACCAGCCAAGUAGCGUGCAGGAUGACGGCCCUAUGGGUUGUAAACUGCUUUUGUAUGGGGAUAAAGUUAGGGACGUGUCCCUAUUUGCAGGUACCAUACGAAUAAGGACCGGCUAAUUCCGUGCCAGCAGCCGCGGUAAUACGGAAGGUCCAGGCGUUAUCCGGAUUUAUUGGGUUUAAAGGGAGCGUAGGCUGGAGAUUAAGUGUGUUGUGAAAUGUAGACGCUCAACGUCUGAAUUGCAGCGCAUACUAGUUUCCUUGAGUACGCACAACGUUGGCGGAAUUCGUCGUGUAGCGGUGAAAUGCUUAGAUAUGACGAAGAACUCCGAUUGCGAAGGCAGCUGACGGGAGCGCAACUGACGCUUAAGCUCGAAGGUGCGGGUAUCAAACAGGAUUAGAUACCCUGGUAGUCCGCACAGUAAACGAUGGAUGCCCGCUGUUGGUACCUGGUAUCAGCGGCUAAGCGAAAGCAUUAAGCAUCCCACCUGGGGAGUACGCCGGCAACGGUG
Molecule: ribosomal RNA, 539 nt
Filed under: uncultured bacterium
Lineage: Bacteria
Description: bacterial SSU rRNA
Rfam family: Bacterial small subunit ribosomal RNA
Source: RNAcentral